AUUGAACGCUGGCGGCAUGCCUUACACAUGCAAGUCGAACGGCAGCACGGACUUCGGUCUGGUGGCGAGUGGCGAACGGGUGAGUAAUGCAUCGGAACGUACCCGGUAGUGGGGGAUAACUACCCGAAAGGGUGGCUAAUACCGCAUAUACUGUGCGCAGGAAAGCAGGGGACCUUCGGGCCUUGUGCUACCGGAGCGGCCGAUGUCAGAUUAGGUAGUUGGUGGGGUAACGGCCUACCAAGCCUGCGAUCUGUAGCGGGUCUGAGAGGAUGAUCCGCCACACUGGGACUGAGACACGGCCCAGACUCCUACGGGAGGCAGCAGUGGGGAAUUUUGGACAAUGGGCGCAAGCCUGAUCCAGCCAUGCCGCGUGAGUGAAGAAGGCCUUCGGGUUGUAAAGCUCUUUCGGACGGAAGAAAUCGCGCAGGCUAAUACCCUGCGCGGAUGACGGUACCGUCAUAAGAAGCACCGGCUAACUACGUGCCAGCCGCCGCCGUAA
This 499-nucleotide ribosomal RNA is filed under the name uncultured bacterium. RNAcentral describes it as "partial 16S ribosomal RNA". It matches the Rfam family "Bacterial small subunit ribosomal RNA", at positions 29 to 523 of the family's 1533-position model. The record is from RNAcentral.